GGGGUAAUAGCUCAGUGGUAGAGCGCUUGCCUAGGAAGCGCAAGGCCCUGGGUUCGGUCCCCAGCUCCG
RNAcentral lists this transfer RNA (69 nucleotides) under Rattus norvegicus (Norway rat). It matches the Rfam family "tRNA". Rfam says of the family: Transfer RNA (tRNA) molecules are approximately 80 nucleotides in length. Lineage: Eukaryota; Metazoa; Chordata; Mammalia; Rodentia; Muridae. The record is from Rfam by way of RNAcentral.